RNAcentral lists this long non-coding RNA (507 nucleotides) under Prunus dulcis (almond). RNAcentral's name for it is "sRNA ncRNA". The record is from RNAcentral. Lineage: Eukaryota; Viridiplantae; Streptophyta; Magnoliopsida; Rosales; Rosaceae.
CAGGGGCGGAUCCACCUUGGGACAAGAGGGGUCGGACGACCCCUUGGAAGGCUGGAAAAUUGGCAAGGGAGUCCAUGGCAGCCCCCUUGGACAGCUGCUUGGAAGCCCCCUUGGAUGCACACAAUGUGCUCGACGAAAUGCCCCAACGAAAUGGCCUGCUGCGCUACGCAGCUGCGCGUAAUUUUUUUUUAAAACCAGCCUUGCCAAACGACGUCGUUUGGUCAAGGCGCAGUCAAAUUUUUUUUAAUUGACCUGGCCUCAAAACGAUGUCGUUUUGGGCCAGGUUUUAAAAAAAAAAAAAAAAAAACAGAACAGCAUACGAAAGAAGAGCAGCUGCACAGAUUCAUUUUCUCCCCCAAUUCCACAGCCCCUCUUCCUCCCAUCCUCUCAAACCCUAACCUCCCAACCUCCCAACCUUGGACAACCUCCAUCAACUCUUCGCCAGUGGCCCAGUGCCGAUCACCACCACCUUCUACCGCCAUCCGCCGCCCAUUUUUUAAACUACAA